GACGAACGCUGGCGGCGUGCUUAACACAUGCAAGUCGAACGGAAAGGCCCUGCUUUUGUGGGGUGCUCGAGUGGCGAACGGGUGAGUAACACGUGAGUAACCUGCCCUUGACUUUGGGAUAACUUCAGGAAACUGGGGCUAAUACCGGAUAGGAGCUCCUGCUGCAUGGUGGGGGUUGGAAAGUUUCGGCGGUUGGGGAUGGACUCGCGGCUUAUCCGCUUGUUGGUGGGGUAGUGGCUUACCAGGGCUUUGACGGGUAGCCGGCCUGAGAGGGUGGCCGGCCACAUUGGGACUGCGAUACGGCCCAGACUCCUACGGGAGGCAGCAGUGGGGAAUAUUGCACAAUGGGCGGAAGCCUGAUGCAGCAACGCCGCGUGCGGGAUGACGGCCUUCGGGUUGUAAACCGCUUUCGCCUGGGACGAAGCGUGAGUGACGGUAAUGGGUAAAGAAGCACCGGCUAACUACGUG
RNAcentral lists this ribosomal RNA (468 nucleotides) under uncultured bacterium. RNAcentral's name for it is "partial 16S ribosomal RNA". It matches the Rfam family "Bacterial small subunit ribosomal RNA", at positions 28 to 507 of the family's 1533-position model. The record is from RNAcentral.